Non-coding RNA from Podarcis lilfordi (Lilford's wall lizard), 66 nucleotides. Lineage: Eukaryota; Metazoa; Chordata; Lepidosauria; Squamata; Lacertidae. The record is from the annotation of a GenBank genome assembly.
GCAGCUCAGUGGUAGAGCAUCUGCUUUGCAUGUGAAAGAUCUCAGGUUCAAUCCUUGGCAGAUGCC